UAACAAAACCUACAUAAUAAUGCUUUUAAACCAUCGACCGUUCCUAGCACGAGUGGCAAAAAUUUGGUGGUUGGUAUCCGAAAUCCCAAGUUCGACUUCUAGUUGAUUCAUAUUUUCAGCUAAGUUUAUUUCUAAAUGAAAUAGACAAAGCGGGUAGCAGUUGUAGUUUCAUUGCAACCGGAUGCUGUUACUGGAUCUUUU
RNAcentral lists this long non-coding RNA (201 nucleotides) under Ananas comosus (pineapple). RNAcentral's name for it is "long non-coding RNA (ACOM_LNC014349)". Lineage: Eukaryota; Viridiplantae; Streptophyta; Magnoliopsida; Poales; Bromeliaceae. The record is from RNAcentral.